UACAGAGGUCUCGAGCGUUGUUCGGAUUCAUUGGGCGUAAAGGGUGCGUAGGUGGUCGUGUAAGUCGGAUGUGAAAUCCCGGGGCUCAACCCCGGAACUGCAUUCGAUACUGCGUGGCUUGAGUACUGGAGAGGAGAUCGGAAUUUACGGUGUAGCAGUGAAAUGCGUAGAUAUCGUAAGGAAGACCAGUGGCGAAGGCGGAUCUCUGGACAGUUACUGACACUGAGGCACGAAGGCCAGGGGAGCAAACGGG
RNAcentral lists this ribosomal RNA (253 nucleotides) under uncultured bacterium. RNAcentral describes it as "partial 16S ribosomal RNA". It matches the Rfam family "Bacterial small subunit ribosomal RNA", at positions 524 to 776 of the family's 1533-position model. The record is from RNAcentral.